CAGCAGCCGCGGUAAUACAGAGGGUGCGAGCGUUAAUCGGAUUUACUGGGCGUAAAGCGUGCGUAGGCGGCUUUUUAAGUCGGAUGUGAAAUCCCUGAGCUUAACUUAGGAAUUGCAUUCGAUACUGGGAAGCUAGAGUAUGGGAGAGGAUGGUAGAAUUCCAGGUGUAGCGGUGAAAUGCGUAGAGAUCUGGAGGAAUACCGAUGGCGAAGGCAGCCAUCUGGCCUAAUACUGACGCUGAGGUACGAAAGCAUGGGGAGCAAACAGGAUUAGAUACCCCUGUAGUCCCUGUCUCUUAUCC
Molecule: ribosomal RNA, 301 nt
Filed under: uncultured bacterium
Lineage: Bacteria
Description: partial 16S ribosomal RNA
Rfam family: Bacterial small subunit ribosomal RNA
Source: RNAcentral